AUCACGUUGACUUGUAAUGGGUGGCACCAUUUUUUACAAAGACAUAUGGAAACGUCUGCCUUUUCGAAGGCCGACAGGCGACGGGAUAGGUCGAGGAGGAGUAAAUGGCCACGGGAUAGGUCGAGGAGGAGUAAAUGGCCACGGGAUAGGUCGAGGAGGAGUAAAUGGCGACGGGAUAGGUCGAGGAGGAGUAAAUGGCCACGGGAUAGGUCGAGGAGGAGUAAAUGGCGACGGGAUAGGUCGAGGAGGAGUAAAUGGCGAGGGGAUAGGUCGAGGAGGAGUAAAUGGCGAGGGGAUAGGUCGAGGAGGAGUAAAUGGCCACGGUGCUUGAAUCCUAUAGUGCGGCAAUUGAAGUGUGUGAUAAUGAAUUUAAAAAAUAGUGAAAUUAAAAGAAUGGAACAAAAUAAGUUGUAGUAGAAGACAAGGACUGGUGCAAUAAUGCAUUUCUUAUUGGGCUGCGCUUUUUGGGGGGACAAGGAGAUUCGUUUGGGAAAUCAAUUUGUAGUAUCGAGGACUGUAAAGGAAAGUAAAGGGAAAGGUGGGAUUCAAUCAAGGUGACUAGAUGUUGUUUUGGUUCAUUGUUUUGAUGAAGAACAGAAGAAGCUUGCACUGCAUCUGGCAAAGUUGUCCAUGUCAGAAGUAUUGAUCUUCGGAGCACGGUGCCUGCCAAAGGAGUUACAGCUGGAGUCUCCUUGGAUAUGGAUGAGCACCUUAGUCAGAAGAUCCCAAGAGGGGUCAGUGCAUGUUGCCUGACCUGUAUGGUAAAUGGAAGGAAGGAGAAAAGCCUGUGGAUAUUAUUGUUGUUUGAGACUCUACCUGAAUAUGUGAAGGACAAAUGUGAGGUAUGUGGUGAGAGCAUUUACGUCCAAACCGUUACAGGUCACGUCAAAUGUUUGCCGACGGGAGUAAGUAUGAAGUUGAAGAAUCUGUGAAUGGAAAAUGUUGCAACUGUGGUGGGGAUCAUACUUCGGAUUUCCUUGAGUGUUAGAAGGCCGAAGGAGGACCAUGGUUGCAUUUAAACUUUAGAUCACCGGUUACUUUGUAGCUGAAUGUUAAAUGUUUUUUUUUUAGCAAUGGGAAGUAAUACUUGUACAUUUAGAUUGGGAAAUGCCUAAUCCAGGUGAAAAAUAUUGGAUAAGAGUAGAGAGCGAGAGAUCAUGAGCAGAUGGGCUCCUGCAUUUUUAAAAAAAAAUUUUUUUUUACAAAAGAUAAACUUGUUUUUUUUCCUCAAGGACAUAUACAUGAUACUACCCUCCACUCCAAUUCAAAACUCCAAACCUACAACCUGAUUUUGGACAAAAUUACCUGGUAAGAUUCCUACUACCAAACAUUCUUAAUUUCCAAGGACUAUAUAGCUAAUGCGCUGGAAAACCAACGACCAGCAAGAGAUGCACAACAGAAACCUGAAAACACCAUCCAACCUGGAACUGAGUAAUGUUUAGUCUGAAGCUACUUUAAAAGCCAAGAAGAUAAAAUAUGUAUUUCAAUUACAUAUUUUACUUUAUAAGGAAUUAAUAAUAAAUUAAGGCUACCAAGCUUGCUAGGACAGAACCGAUCCGGCUGCAACUUCAAAUAGCACUGAUGUAUGAAGUGUGAAGUGAGAGGUGUCAAUGCUCUUGAGCCCAAAAAUGGCAGGAGAGUUUCCCAGCCUACCACAUACACAUGCAGAGGCCUUUGAAGCUUCCUCCCUCUGUGGGAGGUCAUUAUGAUACAG
Molecule: long non-coding RNA, 1714 nt
Organism: Oncorhynchus tshawytscha (Chinook salmon)
Lineage: Eukaryota; Metazoa; Chordata; Actinopteri; Salmoniformes; Salmonidae
Source: Ensembl